RNAcentral lists this unclassified non-coding RNA (319 nucleotides) under Hevea brasiliensis (rubber tree). The record is from RNAcentral. Lineage: Eukaryota; Viridiplantae; Streptophyta; Magnoliopsida; Malpighiales; Euphorbiaceae.
AACCAAUGUAACUUUCCAGCAAUCGACUUGUAGCAUAAAUACUGAAAGCUUUUUGGGUACAACUUGGAAUUUGUUGUCUUCUGUGAUUAUUCCAAAUGUUUCUAUGGUCUCACGAAUCAUGAUACCACGUACACCAACUAAGCCUGCUAUUUUGCACUGAACAACUAGAAUAAGUGCACCAUGCAAGUCUGCAUUAAGAAGACAUUGUGAUAACUGAUUUUUCCCAAUAUUCUUUAGGAGUUUUGUCACGUAGUCUUUCCACCUAUCAUGCAUUGGCUUGAAGAUGUCAUAGUUAUGGUACUCUUGAGGCAAAUCAAAU